Molecule: ribosomal RNA, 798 nt
Filed under: bacterium EJ10-106
Lineage: Bacteria
Description: bacterial SSU rRNA
Rfam family: Bacterial small subunit ribosomal RNA
Source: RNAcentral
CAUGCAAGUCGAACGAUGAACCUCACUUGUGGGGGGAUUAGUGGCGAACGGGUGAGUAACACGUGAGUAACCUGCCCUUAACUCUGGGAUAAGCCUGGGAAACUGGGUCUAAUACCGGAUAUGACUCCUCAUCGCAUGGUGGGGGGUGGAAAGCUUUAUUGUGGUUUUGGAUGGACUCGCGGCCUAUCAGCUUGUUGGUGAGGUAAUGGCUCACCAAGGCGACGACGGGUAGCCGGCCUGAGAGGGUGACCGGCCACACUGGGACUGAGACACGGCCCAGACUCCUACGGGAGGCAGCAGUGGGGAAUAUUGCACAAUGGGCGCAAGCCUGAUGCAGCGACGCCGCGUGAGGGAUGACGGCCUUCGGGUUGUAAACCUCUUUCAGUAGGGAAGAAGCGAAAGUGACGGUACCUGCAGAAGAAGCGCCGGCUAACUACGUGCCAGCAGCCGCGGUAAUACGUAGGGCGCAAGCGUUAUCCGGAAUUAUUGGGCGUAAAGAGCUCGUAGGCGGUUUGUCGCGUCUGCCGUGAAAGUCCGGGGCUCAACUCCGGAUCUGCGGUGGGUACGGGCAGACUAGAGUGAUGUAGGGGAGACUGGAAUUCCUGGUGUAGCGGUGAAAUGCGCAGAUAUCAGGAGGAACACCGAUGGCGAAGGCAGGUCUCUGGGCAUUAACUGACGCUGAGGAGCGAAAGCAUGGGGAGCGAACAGGAUUAGAUACCCUGGUAGUCCAUGCCGUAAACGUUGGGCACUAGGUGUGGGGGACAUUCCACGUUUUCCGCGCCGUAGCUAACGCAUUAA